RNAcentral lists this non-coding RNA (283 nucleotides) under Amphibacillus xylanus. Its description in RNAcentral is "T-box sequence". It matches the Rfam family "T-box leader". From Rfam's summary of the family: Uncharged tRNA acts as the effector for transcription antitermination of genes in the T-box leader family. T-boxes are found upstream of many aminoacyl-tRNA synthetase genes and some amino acid biosynthetic genes usually in Gram-positive bacteria. The anticodon of a specific tRNA base pairs to a specifier sequence within the T-box motif, and the NCCA acceptor tail of the tRNA base pairs to a conserved bulge in the T-box antiterminator hairpin. Lineage: Bacteria; Bacillati; Bacillota; Bacilli; Caryophanales; Bacillaceae. The record is from RNAcentral.
UUAAAAGCUAUGAUUAGGGAAAGUAAGUAUUUUAACGUUUUUCAAAAGAGAGCUUCGGUAGCUGAAAAGAAGCAAAAAUGUAGAUACUGAAAAUGGCCUAUGAGCUGGGGGCUGAACGUAUAGUCAUCUAUACAAGUAAGUCACUUCCGAGUGUGGGGACUCGUUACCAAAACCAAAGUAUAAAAGCCUAUUUUACUGGGUGGAGUACUUAUAGAGGCUAUUUGUGUAAGCAAAUAGUAAACUAAGGUGGUACCGUGUUGAUAUUAAACCCAACGCCCUUAUU